RNAcentral lists this ribosomal RNA (491 nucleotides) under uncultured bacterium. RNAcentral's name for it is "bacterial SSU rRNA". It matches the Rfam family "Bacterial small subunit ribosomal RNA", at positions 21 to 507 of the family's 1533-position model. The record is from RNAcentral.
GGCUCAGAUUGAACGCUGGCGGCAUGCCUUACACAUGCAAGUCGAACGGCAGCACGGGGGCAACCCUGGUGGCGAGUGGCGAACGGGUGAGUAAUGCAUCGGAACGUGCCCAGUAGUGGGGGAUAACCAGUCGAAAGACUGGCUAAUACCGCAUACGACCUAAGGGUGAAAGCGGGGGACCGUAAGGCCUCGCGCUAUUGGAGCGGCCGAUGUCUGAUUAGCUAGUUGGCGGGGUAAGAGCCCACCAAGGCGACGAUCAGUAGCUGGUCUGAGAGGACGACCAGCCACACUGGGACUGAGACACGGCCCAGACUCCUACGGGAGGCAGCAGUGGGGAAUUUUGGACAAUGGGCGCAAGCCUGAUCCAGCCAUGCCGCGUGCGGGAAGAAGGCCUUCGGGUUGUAAACCGCUUUUGGCAGGAACGAAACGGCGCAAGCCAAUACCUUGCGCUAAUGACGGUACCUGCAGAAUAAGCACCGGCUAACUACGUG